Molecule: long non-coding RNA, 406 nt
Filed under: Rattus norvegicus (Norway rat)
Lineage: Eukaryota; Metazoa; Chordata; Mammalia; Rodentia; Muridae
Description: long non-coding RNA NONRATT005933
Source: RNAcentral
CCCCAAGGCUGGAUCAGAAUGGAGGUGCUCACGUAGGAGUCACAGGCCCAGCCUCCCCAGGCCCCUCCAGAAUAUCGGGGUACACAGCCUGAGAACUUUCUAAGAAACAUCUGUGGGCUGAAGAAAGAGUUGUCUGGGUAUUGGUUGGAGAGCAGCAAAAAUGAAUGUGCAUACACAGAGACAGACAGUCUCUCUCCCCUCUCUCUCUUUCUCUCUCUUUCUCUUCUCUCUCUUUCUCCCCCCCCCUCUCUCUCUGUCUCUCUCUCCUCUCUCUCUCUUUCUUUCUCUCUCCCUUUCUCUUUCUCCUCUCUCUUUCUCUCCCUCUCUCUUUCUCUCCCUCUCUCUCUCCCCCUCUUUCUCUCUCCUCUCUCUUUUCUCUCUCUCUCCUCUCUCUCUUGAUCCUCUC